RNAcentral lists this ribosomal RNA (253 nucleotides) under uncultured bacterium. RNAcentral describes it as "partial 16S ribosomal RNA". It matches the Rfam family "Bacterial small subunit ribosomal RNA", at positions 524 to 776 of the family's 1533-position model. The record is from RNAcentral.
UACGGGGGGGGUAAGCGUUGUUCGGAAUUACUGGGCGUAAAGGGCUCGUAGGCGGCCAACUAAGUCAUACGUGAAAUCCCUCAGCUUAACUGGGGAACUGCGUGUGAUACUGGAUGGCUUGGAUUUGGGAGAGGGAUGCGGAAUUCCAGGUGUAGCGGUGAAAUGCGUAGAUAUCAGGAGGAACACCGGUGGCGAAGGCGGGUCUCUGGGCAGUAACUGACGCUGAGGAGCGAAAGCGUGGGGAGCAAACAGG